UUUAAUAUGGCAGACUAGUGCCUUGAACUUAAAUUUCAAAUAUAAAGACUUUCAAACCUUUUAUUAAAA
RNAcentral lists this transfer RNA (69 nucleotides) under Mycocepurus sp. nov. 5 CR-2011. RNAcentral describes it as "tRNA-Leu". Lineage: Eukaryota; Metazoa; Arthropoda; Insecta; Hymenoptera; Formicidae. The record is from RNAcentral.